AGUGAACGCUGGCGGUAGGCCUAACACAUGCAAGUCGAACGGCAGCACAGUAAGAGCUUGCUCUUACGGGUGGCGAGUGGCGGACGGGUGAGGAAUACAUCGGAAUCUACUUUUUCGUGGGGGAUAACGUAGGGAAACUUACGCUAAUACCGCAUACGACCUACGGGUGAAAGCAGGGGAUCUUCGGACCUUGCGCGAUUGAAUGAGCCGAUGUCGGAUUAGCUAGUUGGCGGGGUAAAGGCCCACCAAGGCGACGAUCCGUAGCUGGUCUGAGAGGAUGAUCAGCCACACUGGAACUGUGACACGGUACAUAGUCCUACGGGAGGCGGCAGUGGGGAAUAGUGGGCAAUGGGCGCAAACCUGAGCCAGCCAUGCCGCGUGGGUGAAGAAGGCCUUCGGGUUGUAAAGCCCUUUUGUUGGGAAAGAACAGCAGCCGGUUGAUACCCCGCUGUUCUGACGGUACCCAAUGAAUAAGCACCGGCUAACUUCGUG
This 492-nucleotide ribosomal RNA is filed under the name uncultured bacterium. RNAcentral describes it as "partial 16S ribosomal RNA". It matches the Rfam family "Bacterial small subunit ribosomal RNA", at positions 29 to 507 of the family's 1533-position model. The record is from RNAcentral.